Molecule: non-coding RNA, 612 nt
Organism: Pelobates cultripes (western spadefoot toad)
Lineage: Eukaryota; Metazoa; Chordata; Amphibia; Anura; Pelobatidae
Source: the annotation of a GenBank genome assembly
GGGCGGGGCUAGCACGCAGACCGAGACAGACGCCAUUUGCUGGAGCUCCUCUAAACAAACCUGAAAUCUGCCAGAUAUCAUCGGAACAAGAGCCCAUCCAGCCUCAAAACUCACAAAAUCGGAAUCCGCUGAACGAGCUGAAAACGUAGAUGCCCUUCUUUCAGCCGCAAAAACAGCCUAAGCGGCGACGUAAAAUCGAGGCCUACCACCCUCUCCAGAUCCCCAGCCUCGCGUCACUCUUCGGCGGAGACCUCGCGGAACGGCCAACCCUAUCACAUACAUCGCCCAACACACUCACCAUGGGCCGUAAAUCACAGAGACCCGCCACAGGGUCGGAUACGAGGGACAUUGGGGCGAUGCUCCAGAAGCCCAAACAAACCCAGGCCGGAGACCAACCGGAAAUAGUACCAGAACCGGACCGCCACGAGAUGGAGGUACCACAACACCCCCAGGCGGUAAGAACCGCACUAGCGGACCCUAUGGAUGAUUCAGCCCAAACAACUAGGGGAGACCUGAAGGUCCUAUUAGCUGAUAUCCACAAGCUCCUGGCUGCAGAUUUAGCUGUAUUUAAAACACAGCUACAGGCCGUAACAGAGAGAGUCAAAGCCACAG